CUUGUCGACCUUCUUCUCGUACUUCGGAGCUUCUGGCGCUGCGGUCUUCAGCGCCGAGAGCUGAUCGAGGGACUGCAUGGUAUCGGACAUUAUGCGGCCCUCAUGUGAUUCAUCGAUGCGAUAUCCACGACCUCAGGCUGCUGUGCUUCGUGGGGAUGUUCUGCGCCGGCAUAAACGCGGAGGUUGCCGAGCUGCACACGGCCGAGCGGACCGCGCGGGAUCAUGCGCUCAAUGGCCUUCUCGACGACGCGCUCAGGGAAG
This 261-nucleotide unclassified non-coding RNA is filed under the name Hevea brasiliensis (rubber tree). The record is from RNAcentral. Lineage: Eukaryota; Viridiplantae; Streptophyta; Magnoliopsida; Malpighiales; Euphorbiaceae.